Molecule: long non-coding RNA, 991 nt
Organism: Sarcophilus harrisii (Tasmanian devil)
Lineage: Eukaryota; Metazoa; Chordata; Mammalia; Dasyuromorphia; Dasyuridae
Exons: 3
Source: RefSeq, a predicted model, not a curated record
UUUUCCUUCUUUUACAGAAAUGGAAACUGAGGCCCAAGAAAGGUGGUGACUGAUUUAAAGUCAUACAGUGGCAGAGCCCAGACCAGUACUUGGAUGAAGGAAUUGUGAAGAGCUAUUUAAGAGAUCUGAGAAAUUUGGGAGAUGGCUCUGGCUUUUCAAAGGUCAAGGUUCACAGAAGGCCACUUUGGAGGCCACCUAGCACCUGAUCCCCUGUACCAGAACCCUCUUGUGAGAGUGGAGGCCUAUUGAUUGAUUUCUAGGUCCUAACAAGAAACCAUAGACAACAGACUUUCUUGCCAGAGGGAUUCAUGUUUUAAAAGCAAAUGACUGGAGGGUUAACAGAAGAAUUGCAGACCAGAUACUGAAGGAAACUGAAAUGGAGGAGGAAGGCUAUUUGGGAGCAGCAGAACCUCAGACAGUGGUCCAUAAAUAACUGCCUAGUUAAUUAUGUAAUAAGUUUUCUUGUCCUAAGUAAAGAACCCCAGGCUCCUUAGAGGUCCUGCUCUUUGUGACUGACACUGUGUAGGAAGAAACAUCUUGGAGGGAUUCCCAUGCUCUGGUGAGAAUUUCACACAGAAUGUGAAGCUGUGUGGGCAAGAACAUCUUGGAGGGAUUUCCAUGCUCUGGUGAAAAGUAGAGUGUUGGGUGGUUAUCCUAGCCAGGAACACCCAUUCCUCUAAGCAAUGGCCCUCAUUAGUUUCCAACUUUCCACAUGUCCAUAUCUGAGGACAUUGCUUUGGGGAUGAGUGGAGCCAGGUCUAGGCUUCAAAUUGUCUUGCUCCUAUUAGGUUGUAAACUCCUUGAAGAUAGGGCAUAUCUUUUGUUUUUUUUCUGUAUCCCCAGCACUUAUCACAAUGUCUGGUGCAUAAUAAAUACCUAGUAAAUGUUUAUUGAUUUAUUGAUUAACCUUUGCCAUCCAUCAGGGAGCAGAAGAUUAUGGGGUUCUCUUGAUUGAACUUGAGAAAUCUCUUUAUUCUUCUGAUGUUAAAGA